Molecule: long non-coding RNA, 332 nt
Organism: Dalotia coriaria
Lineage: Eukaryota; Metazoa; Arthropoda; Insecta; Coleoptera; Staphylinidae
Exons: 3
Source: RefSeq, a predicted model, not a curated record
GUAUUCAAACGGAACACUCUUCGGUCGAGUAGUAGUCAACAACACGAAUGUGAAAGGUGCCAAAAUAAAUAAGCAUCAUAUAAUUAUAAUAAAGCGUGCAUUUUGCUACUCUUUUUGGUCUCGCACACAUCAAAGAUACAAAAAUUGUUUUAAAAUGGGUUAUAUUGUUUGGUUAAUGUUAACGGCUUUAAUCUACCAAUCAUGGACAGAGCGGCAACUUAAUUUUACGAAAGAUUUUCGUAUAAAAAACAUCAAAUUUAUCCGUCCACCACUACUUCAUCGAUUCAGUUCAAAACAUCAUAGCGAUGCCAUUAAUAGCAGGUAAAUACAAA